This 484-nucleotide ribosomal RNA is filed under the name uncultured bacterium. Its description in RNAcentral is "bacterial SSU rRNA". It matches the Rfam family "Bacterial small subunit ribosomal RNA", at positions 903 to 1397 of the family's 1533-position model. The record is from RNAcentral.
AAAGGAAUAGACGGGGGCCCGCACAAGCAGCGGAGCGUGUGGUUUAAUUCGAUGCAACACGAAAAACCUCACCAGGGUUUGACAUGUCGGAAGUAGCGAACCGAAAGGGAAACAAACUGUCAAGUCAGUAGCCGAUACAGGUGCUGCAUGGCUGUCGUCAGCUCGUGCCGUGAGGUGUAUGGUUAAGUCCUGCAACGAGCGCAACCCUCGUGGUUAGUUGAAUUCUCUAGCCAGACCGCCCCGCAAAACGGGGAGGAAGGUGGGGAUGACGUCAAGUCAGCAUGGCCUUUAUACCCUGGGCUACACACACGCUACAAUGGGUGGUACAAUGGGUAGCAACAACGCGAGUUGAAGCCAAUCCCUUAAAACCAUCCUCAGUUCAGAUUGCAGGCUGAAACUCGCCUGCAUGAAGUAGGAGUUGCUAGUAAACGCAAAUCAGCAUGUUGCGUUGAAUACGUUCUCGGGCCUUGUACACACCGCCCGU